UGACGACACAGCCUGAAGCUCCGUCAGCAGGUAUCGAGGUCACGUGGGAGCAGGUGUCAUGAGCAGCUUUAAAGGAGAGCUUCAUGUUAAUACAAGUCUUAGUCAUUCUCAUACGCCCCCUAACAAGUUAUUGGGUGCUGGAAUCCUUCCCACUGUCCGUACUGGCUGUACAAAUUUUCCUUCCUAAUGCUUUUAAUGGUUUCUCUGUAUGGACAGGAGGAAUGUUUGUGACAACUCAAUUUACACAUGGAAUCAUUAUUUUAAUUAGAUAUUAUUGUGAGCUCUAUCAUUUUAAAGUGCUUUGCUUUAAUACACCACAAGUUAUUGUCUUGCUGUAAGCAAUUUACUUAACAGCUGAAACAUUUCACGUCGUCUUGGCGUUUUCUAUGCAGUAAACUCGGUGUGGUGCCCUUUGUUGUCUUAAGUAAAGCUCUGUGAAGUCGCAGGCGCGUUAAACUGAUGUCUGGUUAUAGGAUUUCUUGCUUUGAAUGACCUUUUUAUAGGAAUACAAACCAGUAUUUUGCUUAGCUACUUUCAGUUUUUUCUAUCUAUGUGUCCUCGUCCUCCUCCCGUAUUUCAUCUCGUUGAGACUCGCAGAUCCGUAUCUUGGGUCAAGAUGCAUUGGAUGGGAUGUAAAUGGGGCAAGCGGUGCCACCUUUUGUGUGUGUGUGUGUGCACUUCCUGCAAAUCCACCCUGUGCUGCCCUGAGCCUUUGAGCAGCUCUGCUUCGUGUCCGGGGAGUUUCAUUCACAUCACUGAUAGUCUGUUGCUGUAAGUAAUUGCACUAAAUUUCCUCCUUUUACAGUGUUUUGAGCUUAAACUGUAAACAGUAAAUUGAAGAGUUCCAAAAUGUAAAGCACUCAAAGUCAUGGAGACAUCUUAGGUUCUGUUUCUGUACAUAGCUGUAUUUUUUUUUUGUAUAGAUUACUUUGAUGAUGCUUGUUAAUAUUGCCUUAAAUUCUGCUCUGUUCAAUGUGUGAAGGUGAAAUAAUGGAAUGCUCCUGAUAGACUUGUAUUCCCUCCUCAGGCGAGAAAUAAUCAAGCAGAAAUUCAUAUUCAUAUUUCUGAAUUGUGGUGGUGAAAUUUCUGUCCCCCAGAUGCUUUAACCAUGAAACGUGCGUGUUUGGUAUUUUUUAAUACAUUCUUUUCUUUGACACUUGCCUUUUCAUUUCAGUUUUUUUUAAUGUGUGUUGGUGAAGUAAAUGGAAGCACUUUUCUGCACUUUUUUUUCUCUUUUUUCAAGACGAUGAGAAGAGUGUCUAACUGAGGGCAAUCCAUUAAUCACACACACACACACACACACACACUUUAAUUGUCGUUGCACAAGAUCAGUAGUUUCCCCCUGGAAUGAAUGGGAUGUGUUUGGCGUCUCGUGCCUGGUCACAGUCUCUGUGUGGGGAGGCGGAGACGGACUGGCUGCAGUAAUCGGAUAGCUUUCCCCUGGUGGUGACGUGACGGUUUAUUAUGUUUCGUGACAUUGGCGGUGGGGAUUUCUACUCCCCCGUAUGAACUACUUCCCGUUGUUUGACCCAGGCAUUGAACUGCAAAAGUGAAUUUAGAUGAUUUUUUUUUUUUGGUGUCGCUGAUGUCCAGUUAAAUCCCGAGAACGGUUAAAAGUUUUAAAGAAGUCCGUAUUUUCAGACUUUCCAUUUUUCUCUUUGGCCUCGCUGUGGCGCUGCUUUUCUAUGUGACGUGCAACCAAUGAAAAACAAAAAAACAGCAGUUUUUGUUUUAAAUGCCUAAAUCUGCAAAAUAUAUGCAAUGAUGUAAAUGUAACAUUCAAUCCUCAGAUAUAAUCCAGGUUGUAUGAACUUUGUAUAGUGAGUUUUAAUAUUGUAUGGCCGUUCCAAUAUGUAUUGAUCUUUAUCAGAAGCCUUAGUUGUUGACCGAAAGUGCUCCCUUAGAAUACCCCAAACCUACCUGACUUUAACAAAGCAUUAAUAUCUCUAUUUUGUUGCGUUUUCAUUUCUACUGGUUUUGAAUAAAAUAGAUUUGUACUGUAUAUUUGUACCUCUCUGUGAACUACUUAGGGUGUUUCUUUUGUUUUUGUUUUGCUGUUUUAAUGUACUUUAAGGACACAAAGAUAUUGUAUUUUUAUUGUUACAGCUAACUUGGAGACAUUGCAUUUAUUAUGUUUGUUAAGUAAACGCAAU
Molecule: long non-coding RNA, 2153 nt
Organism: Gasterosteus aculeatus aculeatus (three-spined stickleback)
Lineage: Eukaryota; Metazoa; Chordata; Actinopteri; Perciformes; Gasterosteidae
Source: Ensembl